RNAcentral lists this ribosomal RNA (164 nucleotides) under Euphorbia ceratocarpa. RNAcentral describes it as "5.8S ribosomal RNA". It matches the Rfam family "5.8S ribosomal RNA". From Rfam's summary of the family: 5.8S ribosomal RNA (5.8S rRNA) is a component of the large subunit of the eukaryotic ribosome. It is transcribed by RNA polymerase I as part of the 45S precursor that also contains 18S and 28S rRNA. The record is from RNAcentral. Lineage: Eukaryota; Viridiplantae; Streptophyta; Magnoliopsida; Malpighiales; Euphorbiaceae.
AAAACGACUCUCGGCAACGGAUAUCUCGGCUCUCGCAUCGAUGAAGAACGCAGCGAAAUGCGAUACUUGGUGUGAAUUGCAGGAUCCCGCGAACCAUCGAGUCUUUGAACGCAAGUUGCGCCNGAAGCCUUUUGGCCGAGGGCACGUCUGCCUGGGUGUCACUC